AAGUCGUAACAAGGUUUCCGUAGGUGAACCUGCGGAAGGAUCAUUAUCCUUUAGCGUAGCGCUCUCUGAGCACUACAAGCGUAUACACUCUUUAGUGUUGCGUUAUAAUGCAUGGCGAAUGGGCCUCGUCCUAUUUGCUUUAAAAUCCGUGCUCGCUCGAGCCCGGUCGGGUACCUAUGUGUGCUGAUAAAGUACACACAAGCGAUAGAUGCUUGUCUAUCGUGUGGUGUAAAGAUUAUUCUCGCUUGAAGAAUAACGCCCGCUUAGCGCAAUUAAUUUUUACUACAAAUUUUAUAUCGCAUUUAAUUAUGUUGUAUGUGUAAUGCACUAUCUAGCUUCUUUUGAGCAAGAUAUUAACACAAAUACAACCCUAUGCGGUGGAUCAUUUGGCUC
This 393-nucleotide unclassified non-coding RNA is filed under the name fungal sp. Its description in RNAcentral is "partial internal transcribed spacer region". The stretch from base 1 to 46 matches the Rfam family "Eukaryotic small subunit ribosomal RNA", at positions 1786 to 1831 of the family's 1831-position model. Lineage: Eukaryota; Fungi. The record is from RNAcentral.